UUAUUUGGUUAAUUUUCGGUAUUGAGAGCUCACUGCUCCCUAGUUUCACUUUUGUCAGAGAGUAAUAACUAGAUACCCAGUGUCUAAUCUGGGUGAAAUCGCUAAGAUCAUAGACAUGUGGUUUUUUUUUGUUAUUCAUUAGACGAGUGGAAGAGCUCAGAGCCCGCCUGGUGUGAAGUGGUUACUGGAGCCCAUAGACAUCUACAACGUAAAUGCCGCCACCCACCUUGGGACAUGAGUUCUAAAGUCUCAGUUUUUACAGUACAACGGCUGCCCCAGCCUUCAAGCCGAAACGCAUUACUGCUUCACGACAUAAAGAGGGUGGGUGGUGGUACCUACUUAUUAACUGUAUUGGCUAUAAAAAACGUGCGCAAUUCAAAUGUGAAAGUGAAACCUUUAAAAGUAUUAUAUUUUGUUCUCGCAAGCUAGAUUCUAUAUAUAUGUACACAGAUUUGUUGACUUUUUGGUGUCCUUACAAGUUUCAAAUCAAAACGGUGCUAAAAAAAUAUUCAUUUCUAUAAAUGAACAAGCCACUAUUAUUAUACUAUAUAUUUUAUUACAUUACAAUAAUAUUUACAACAUAUUAUUAUUACAAUAAUAACAUGAUCGUUACUGUUGAGCAAGAGACAAGUUUAUCACACAUGCCUAAUUUCAGAACGUUCCUAUGGGGGAGGAUGUUGUUCAGUCACAAGGUCAUAUCAUCACUGAUAAUGUGUCGCCGAUGCCGAUGGCACACAAUUUUUUUUGUAUUAAGGGAUUUCUGUUUACCCAAAGUCCUUUCAGCUUCACCAGGAUUGGUUUUAUAACAUAACCAUUAAGUCAAAAACACAAAAAUAGCAUUAAUAAUGGUACAAAUUAAAAUACUUACUUGUUUAGUAAUUAUGCGGAUAAUAAAUGCAGCCAUGACCAAGGCACUUCCAACCCACCGUGUCUUUGCGUGAGGGGUCCAUCUGUCUAAUGUACUCUGAUAAACCUAUUAAAAAGAAUUAUGCAGAUCAUUUAUAUACAUAUCUAAUUUACAUUCAAAAUCCGAUCCAUUAGUCAUAUUUAAAUUGUACAUUCUGAUUCAAAGAGAAUUCAUUCAUUAAGUCAUUAUUGAUUGUACUGUGUAAGUUUAUCCAACCUUGUUUGAAUUCAGUUUAUAGUGCGAAUGGGCUCAGGCAAUCAUUUAACUCAAAGUGUCAUUUUUUCAUUUUGUCAUAUUGAUCAUUUACUUACAUCUUUAUAAAUAUAAUAGCACUGUGUAUGUGUAUGAUGUAGUGUGAACAUUUCCUAAAAGGCUGGACCAAUUUUGAUGGAUUUUUUUGUGUGUGUACAGGGAGUUUAUUGGGUCUUUGUGCUAAAACUUAUUUUUUCACUAUUUUGAAAUGUGAAUUCACUAGUUUGAAAAAAGAUUGAAAGUAGUUAUAGUUUAAUGUUUUUUAAUCAUUAUUUGGUUGAAGAGGUGGCUGUCCACCUGAUGCUAAGUGAUUACCAGAAACGACAGGCAUUGCAACAUAAAUGCCAGUUUUUCCAAAUCAAUACUUGCUUUGUAUUGUACAAUUUAUACCAAAAUUGCACCUUUGGUAAAAAUGGUUUUAUACCAAUUUUAUUAUUGAACGUAUAUGGCACUGCACCACUAUAAUCCUCUUAUCGUGCUUGUAAGCUUUCCAAGCACCAUUCUCCAUUCUCAUAUUGCAAUGAACAAUGAGAAGAGCAACCUCUCCAAUUGCAUUUCUUGCUGAAUCCCCUCACGGAUCCUCUCAUGGGUCACGAUUCCAAUCCGGUGGUAGAUUCAGGGUAGCACUAACCUUGCUAGGGCUACUAGUGUUAUCAAUGUUAGCAGUGUUUAUGUGAUAUUGUUAAAAUUUAAGUUCAUAUCCACCAAAUAAAAAUGCAUGAGUAAUUUGUGGCAGAUUUAUGUCAGUACUCUUGUUUGCCCUAGUUUCGUGCAAGUUCAUGACUCAUCUGGUCUUAAGUGGUUACUGGAACUCUCAGGCACUGUAACAUGAAUGGCACCAGAGUGUAGUAUCACCAUACAGAACUGACUAAAACUGGUGAACUAUAAUAAUUUCAGGCAUAUUGGAAGGCCCUCCGCUGUACUAUACUUACACAGUGUACUUUCAAUUCAAUUUAAUAGAAAUAUAGAAUACAACACCUUACAGAAUGUGGUGUAUCACAGCCGAAUUUCACUAUCCAAUUAGAGAUAUAUUCAGAUGGUUAAAAAAGUCAAGCAAUGUGACACUGUAUUUUCUAGAUUUAAAUAUACAUAAACUAGAAAACUACGAUAGUGUAAGCAGAACACCUAGGAAUCCUAGAAGCGGCCACCAAAAUCCACAUUAAAACAUGUAAAAGGUUGCAAAAGUGUAGCAAUGUGGUCCAAUAUAAAUAUCUCAAGUGUCAAACAUAAUGUGAUACCUGUGAAGCACUUGUAAAGGUAUUUUAUUUAAAAAAAAUCUUUCAAUGGACUAAGAGACAUAAUGGAUCAUGUAAUAUAUUAAUACUUUUACUCAUUUGGGCACAAAGCUUUCAAGUCAUUGUAGCUCCUCCCUUUAAACAAGUAAGAGCAUUACUGAGACUAUACAUGCAAUAAGCAAUAGUUUUAUUGGUCUUAAACAAUAUUGCUGACAAGACCAAUUAUAUUGAAAAUAAAACCAAAGUUAAUUUUUUUACAUCAUAGCAGAUGAGAACUAUGGUUGGCAUAUUCAUUGACAACAGCCAUACAAUAAUCAAACGGGUAUUUGAGACAGUCCUUGAUCUGCCGAGAAACCCACUAAAAUGUUCAUCUAAUUCACAGGAGUGGACACAUACUAGGUUUCACUUUUUUGGUUACAAAGGUCGCUCUCCAAGGCAGUUAGCAAGUCGAGGCAGCUCAUUGACUUCUGGAGGAGAUGGGAUUGUGCUCGUAACGAGUCUACCCACACACAGAAUUGGCAAAAUUAAGGGACGAUGAAUUGCAGAGAACUACUAGUUCAUUGAAUUGAAGGGAUAAUAAAAUAUCUAAGUAUAUGGAUAGAUGGUAGUAAAGUAGUUGUAGUUUACAAAGACUAGGGUCACAUAACAUUUCAUUUUUAAAUUUGAAAGUAUCAGAGUUAAAACACACUGAGCAUCGUGAAAGUCAAAGGGUAAGAUUUCCUCCAAUACCUGCGAUAUUCGUGUCCAACCUUGAGACAAUAUUCCUUUUCUUGUAAUUUCAGAAGAUAAAUCAUUUCCGUCCAUCAUAUUUUCGAUGUUUUCCUCAUGGGCUUACUCCAGAUAAUUUGAACAAAUAUCGAAUAAAUUAUAGGUUAUUUUAAAUUUUUCCCCGCAUUAAACAGACUUACUAUGUAUAUUUUUGAUAUAGCGUAAUACUUCAAGUUAUUUAUUUGAAAACAAUUUAUUAGAAUAAAAUUGAGGAGUUGGAAGUUUGCACCAAAUCAUACUUAGUUAGGGUUGCCUGCUUAAA
Bombyx mori (domestic silkworm) is the source of this 3424-nucleotide long non-coding RNA. RefSeq lists it as uncharacterized. The transcript is spliced from 2 exons. NCBI's taxonomy places the organism in Eukaryota, Metazoa, Arthropoda, Insecta, Lepidoptera, Bombycidae. The record is from RefSeq and is a predicted model, not a curated record.